AAUGAACGCUGGCGGUAUGCUUAACACAUGCGAGUCGAACGGACUCUUCGGAGUUAGUGGCGGACGGGUGAGUAACGCGUGAGAAUCUGGCUUUGGGUUCGGGACAACAACUGGAAACGGUGGCUAAUAUCGGAUGUGCCGAGAGGUAAAAGAGAAAUUGCCGGAAGAUGAGCUCGCGUCUGAUUAGCUAGUUGGUGAGGUAAGGGCUCACCAAGGCAGCGAUCAGUAGCUGGUCUGAGAGGAUGACCAGCCACACUGGGACUGAGACACGGCCCAGACUCCUACGGGAGGCAGCAGUGGGGAAUUUUCCGCAAUGGGCGAAAGCCUGACGGAGCAAUACCGCGUGAGGGAAGAAGGCUCUUGGGUUGUAAACCUCUUUUCUUAGGGAAGAACAAAAUGACGGUACCUAAGGAAUCAGCAUCGGCUAACUCCGUG
RNAcentral lists this ribosomal RNA (435 nucleotides) under uncultured bacterium. RNAcentral's name for it is "partial 16S ribosomal RNA". It matches the Rfam family "Bacterial small subunit ribosomal RNA", at positions 29 to 507 of the family's 1533-position model. The record is from RNAcentral.